CAUCGAAGGAAAUGCCUGCCGAGUCUCUCGGAGACAUGCCCAGGUAGCCACGAUCUUCAAGGCUACGACGCGGCUUGGCCGUGCUGAUCGACCCCGUUCGCUGCGCAUCCCUGGACGCGAACAGCCACUGUGCAUGCGGUGGCGGAUGC
Molecule: non-coding RNA, 149 nt
Organism: Pantoea sp. PSNIH2
Lineage: Bacteria; Pseudomonadati; Pseudomonadota; Gammaproteobacteria; Enterobacterales; Erwiniaceae
Source: Rfam